RNAcentral lists this ribosomal RNA (465 nucleotides) under Vreelandella stevensii. RNAcentral's name for it is "partial 16S ribosomal RNA". It matches the Rfam family "Bacterial small subunit ribosomal RNA", at positions 338 to 795 of the family's 1533-position model. The record is from RNAcentral. Lineage: Bacteria; Pseudomonadati; Pseudomonadota; Gammaproteobacteria; Oceanospirillales; Halomonadaceae.
CCUACGGGAGACAGCAGUGGGGAAUAUUGGACAAUGGGGGCAACCCUGAUCCAGCCAUGCCGCGUGUGUGAAGAAGGCCCUCGGGUUGUAAAGCACUUUCAGUGAGGAAGAACGCCUGGUGGUUAAUACCCAUCAGGAAAGACAUCACUCACAGAAGAAGCACCGGCUAACUCCGUGCCAGCAGCCGCGGUAAUACGGAGGGUGCGAGCGUUAAUCGGAAUUACUGGGCGUAAAGCGCGCGUAGGUGGCUUGAUAAGCCGGUUGUGAAAGCCCCGGGCUCAACCUGGGAACGGCAUCCGGAACUGGCAAGCUAGAGUGCAGGAGAGGAAGGUAGAAUUCCCGGUGUAGCGGUGAAAUGCGUAGAGAUCGGGAGGAAUACCAGUGGCGAAGGCGGCCUUCUGGACUGACACUGACACUGAGGUGCGAAAGCGUGGGUAGCAAACAGGAUUAGAUACCCUGGUAGUC